GACGAACGCUGGCGGCGUGCCUAAUACAUGCAAGUAGAACGCACAGUUUAUACCGUAGCUUGCUACACCAUAAACUGUGAGUUGCGAACGGGUGAGUAACGCGUAGGUAACCUGCCUGGUAGCGGGGGAUAACUAUUGGAAACGAUAGCUAAUACCGCAUAAUAUUAAUUAUUGCAUGAUAAUUGAUUGAAAGAUGCAAUUGCAUCACUACCAGAUGGACCUGCGUUGUAUUAGCUAGUAGGUGAGGUAACGGCUCACCUGGGCGACGAUACAUAGCCGACCUGAGAGGGUGAUCGGCCACACUGGGACUGAGACACGGCCCAGACUCCUACGGGAGGCAGCAGUAGGGAAUCUUCGGCAAUGGACGAAAGUCUGACCGAGCAACGCCGCGUGAGUGAAGAAGGUUUUCGGAUCGUAAAGCUCUGUUGUAAGAGAAGAACGGGUGUGAGAGUGGAAAGUUCACACUGUGACGGUAGCUUACCAGAAAGGGACGGCUAACUACGUG
Molecule: ribosomal RNA, 505 nt
Filed under: uncultured bacterium
Lineage: Bacteria
Description: partial 16S ribosomal RNA
Rfam family: Bacterial small subunit ribosomal RNA
Source: RNAcentral